UCUGCACUGGGAAGAUAAGAUCUCCCGUCCUUUGGCAUUAGAGUAGUAUUGAGGUAUUUUGGCCUUGCUGUGGGCAUCUUUUUGCAGUUGGGAAGAAAUUUUCCUUUACAAACAAAUUGGCCUGGGCACAUGGAAUUUUUCUACCUUCUUUUCAGCAACCCAGGGAUCCAGUGGAAAGAUGCUGCUAAGGAACUGAAGAAUUAAAUGACUGCAGGGUGCACUGAAGUGAAUGGAGGUUUUGACAUUAACUCAACUGGGGCCAGGAUUUUACUCUCAGUGUCUGGGUGACAAAGAAACAACGCUUCAAAGACCAACAUCAUCAAAUUGAAGCAAUGUUAAUUUUGUGUCCAUAGUUUGCCUGACAGCCAUAUGAUCUAACAAGAAACGAACAUGCAUUAAUAAAGAUUCUGAUAUGUUUCCUU
Molecule: long non-coding RNA, 422 nt
Organism: Dermochelys coriacea (leatherback sea turtle)
Lineage: Eukaryota; Metazoa; Chordata; Testudines; Dermochelyidae
Exons: 4
Source: RefSeq, a predicted model, not a curated record